This 84-nucleotide microRNA precursor is filed under the name Bombyx mori (domestic silkworm). RNAcentral's name for it is "mir-2807 microRNA precursor family". It matches the Rfam family "mir-2807 microRNA precursor family". Lineage: Eukaryota; Metazoa; Arthropoda; Insecta; Lepidoptera; Bombycidae. The record is from Rfam by way of RNAcentral.
UUAACUCAAAAAUGUAUGGAGUUGGAACGCUUGACUACGUUUGCCGCUAGAGGAGCGGUUCCAGCUGCAUACGAAUUUGAGUUA